Molecule: long non-coding RNA, 430 nt
Organism: Gavialis gangeticus (Gharial)
Lineage: Eukaryota; Metazoa; Chordata; Crocodylia; Gavialidae
Exons: 3
Source: RefSeq, a predicted model, not a curated record
GGGGGAUAUUUAAAUUCUCUCAUUUCCUUUAGAGUUUCAAACUCAAUCUACAACAGAGAGAAAAAAAGGAAACAAAUAUUAACAGACAGGGAACAAAGGGCAUAAAGGUAUACAGCUACGAUGAAUAUCUGUAUUCAUAUAUGAUGAAUUAUCUGCCUGGCUUUUCCAUUGAGACCUGGGCCCUUCUAAUUGCAUUGCUGACCCUCCUGAUACUCCCAGGAAGCAACAGCACAGGGAAGCAAGGAGAGAUGGGGAGAAGAAAAGUUGCCUUCACAAGUGUGAAGAUGAGAUGCAUGUGAAAGUGUCCUUGGAACAACACAAUAACUCAUGCUCCUUUUUUCUCUCCACAUAUGCCCUGAUGCAGAUGGACUAUCUCGACAUGACAGUAAAUGAAACCCUCAGGCUGUUCCCUGUGGGAGGACGAACUGAA